RNAcentral lists this ribosomal RNA (461 nucleotides) under uncultured fungus. RNAcentral's name for it is "eukaryotic LSU rRNA". The stretch from base 40 to 193 matches the Rfam family "5.8S ribosomal RNA". Lineage: Eukaryota; Fungi. The record is from RNAcentral.
AUGUAGAAUGUAAUGCUCCUUGUGGGCGAAAUGAAAUACAACUUUCAGCAACGGAUCUCUUGGCUCUCGCAUCGAUGAAGAACGCAGCGAAAUGCGAUAAGUAAUGUGAAUUGCAGAAUUCAGUGAAUCAUCGAAUCUUUGAACGCACCUUGCGCCCCUUGGUAUUCCGAGGGGCAUGCCUGUUUGAGUGUCAUGUUAAUCUCAGCUCCCUUGUUUUCUUAACUCGGGCGUUGGACUUGGAAGUUGCUGGCCCCUCCGCGGUCGGCUCUUCUUAAAUGCAUUAGCUGGGCUUUGGCUCGCGUUGAACGGUGUAAUAGUAAUCUUGCAUUCACCUGGACGCUUGCCUAACAAGUCUGCUUCUAAUCGUCUUCGGACAAGGCCUUUGUUGCCUUCACUUGACACCUUGACCUCAAAUCAGGUAGGAUUACCCGCUGAACUUAAGCAUAUCAAUAAGCGGAGGA